AUUGAAAGCUGGCGGCAGGCUUAACACAUGCAAGUCGAGCGGGGUGAUGGUGCUUGCACUAUCACUUAGCGGCGGACGGGUGAGUAAUGCUUAGGAAUCUGCCUAUUAGUGGGGGUCAACAUCUCGAAAGGGAUGCUAAUACCGCAUACGUCCUACGGGAGAAAGCAGGGGAUCGCUUGUGACCUUGCGCUAAUAGAUGAGCCUAAGUCGGAUUAGCUAGUUGGUGGGGUAAAGGCCUACCAAGGCGACGAUCUGUAGCGGGUCUGAGAGGAUGAUCCGCCACACUGGGACUGAGACACGGCCCAGACUCCUACGGGAGGCAGCAGUGGGGAAUAUUGGACAAUGGGGGGAACCCUGAUCCAGCCAUGCCGCGUGUGUGAAGAAGGCCUUAUGGUUGUAAAGCACUUUAAGCGAGGAGGAGGCCCUUUUGGUUAAUACCCAAGAUGAGUGGACGUUACUCGCAGAAUAAGCACCGGCUAACUCUGUGCCAGCCGCCGCCGUAA
This 503-nucleotide ribosomal RNA is filed under the name uncultured bacterium. Its description in RNAcentral is "partial 16S ribosomal RNA". It matches the Rfam family "Bacterial small subunit ribosomal RNA", at positions 30 to 523 of the family's 1533-position model. The record is from RNAcentral.